UACGGAGGGUGCAAGCGUUAUCCGGAUUCACUGGGUUUAAAGGGCGCGUAGGUGGGUAUGUAAGUCAGUGGUGAAAUCCCCGAGCUUAACUUGGGAACUGCCGUUGAUACUAUAUAUCUUGAAUAUCGCGUAGGUAAGCGGAAUAUGUCAUGUAGCGGUGAAAUGCUUAGAUAUGACAUAGAACACCAAUUGCGAAGGCAGCUUACUUCACGAUUAUUGACACUGAGGCACGAAAGCGUGGGGAGCAAACAGG
This 253-nucleotide ribosomal RNA is filed under the name uncultured bacterium. RNAcentral's name for it is "partial 16S ribosomal RNA". It matches the Rfam family "Bacterial small subunit ribosomal RNA", at positions 524 to 776 of the family's 1533-position model. The record is from RNAcentral.